GAUUUUAUGCCUAGGCCUAGUUAAAAGCUUCAUAUUUGGAUACUCAUUUUCUCUCUCUUUAACUUUUUAUUUUUUUAUUAAUUUUUUGUUGGAAUCCCUCGUUUUACAGACUCUAUUGGAGAUGCUCUCAUCUCACAAUCCCAAAAAAGCUUCUUUCUCUCUCGCUCUUCUUCCUUUUCUUCUGAUAGAGUGUAACGGACUUGAGUCUUAGAAGGGAUGGAAAUGAGAUAAGAAUUGAUAGGAGCAAUAGAGAGAUAAGCGGCGAAGAGUAAGGAAAUAGAUCUUAAUUCAUUGAUUGAGUAACCCUAAAAUGGAUCACUCUGCAAAUAGUACUAUUCUCAUAGAAACUACACACACUUUGUCUCAAACAAACUAAAAUGACAAGCAAUUCUUAUUCAAACGUCAAAGCCUCUGGUUGCUCUAGAGUCUAGUGCCUUCUUCCUCUGGCCCGUAAUCAGCCACUUUGAGCCAUUGUUCUCUUUUGCUGCGCUUGAGUACGAGUCAUUUUCUUCACAAAGGCCAGAUGUAUAACUAACUUAUCAUCUUUUCCAUAGUUUCAUAAAAAAAAAAAUCCCCAUAGAAGCAUGUAGACAGUGGAAGAAAAUCGGUUGAUAUCGUCAGUUGGAUGCAUACCCGAAAACGAUGGGGAUAGUUA
This 655-nucleotide long non-coding RNA is filed under the name Capsella rubella. Its description in RNAcentral is "long non-coding RNA (CRUB_LNC003799)". The record is from RNAcentral. Lineage: Eukaryota; Viridiplantae; Streptophyta; Magnoliopsida; Brassicales; Brassicaceae.